GCCACAGGCGCCCAGCCCAGUGAAAUUGUUCUUGAAGAGUUCUUGAUUCAGCGGAGGGAGGACACUCCAGGGAAAACACGUUUACGUUGUGAAGUGUAGGUAACUAGCACGAACGAACAGUGUCUUCAGAAACAGCGUAGGAAGGACGUCCCAGGCGGAGGAGCGUGCGCCCCUUACACCUGAGUUACGUUUGUUACUUGCGCUGAUGGCACAGGGAUCCUCUUACCCAACCCGGUGGGAGAGGAUGCUGCUUUCUCUGUUUUGCUUCCUGCCCUGUCCACGUGGUCAGGAUAGUGCCUGCCUUGGUGCGGUCCCUAGAUAAAUAAAUACUUGUGAGUGUCAAAUAAGUGGCGUCCUCCGUGCUCAGCCUGCUGUCGCUGCCCCUUCUGUUUCUGCUCCCAGCCCGUCAAGGGAAGUUCCAUUACUUAAGUUAGUGCAAGAGCCUGCAGUGUCCCCGGACAGGGUCGGUGGGGUGUCCACGCAGGAGCCUGCAGUGUCUCCAGACAGGGUCGGUGGGGUGUCCACGCAGGAGCCUGAAGUGUCCCCCGUACAGGGUCAGUGGGGUGUCUGCGUGGGAGCCCGCAGUGUCCCGGUACAGGUCGGUGGGAUGUCCGCGGGAGCCCGCAGUGUCCCGGUACAGGUCGGUGGGGUGUCUGUGCAGGAACCUGUAGUGUCCCCGGACAGGAUCGGUGUGGUAUCCACGCAGGACCCUGCAGUGUCCCCAGACAGGGGUCGGUGGGGGGUCUGCUCGCUGCAUUUGUCCCACCACUGCCGCAGACCGACGUGCUAAGUCCAAGGCCUUUCAAAUGCUUUCGGAAUUUGUCACGGUAUGAUCAUGCUACUAACACUGACUUAAUCAUAACAUAUAUCUUAUCUCUGUGAGUUUCACAUUCCAGUAAAACAGAAUUGUUUUCUCCUCCCAGAACAUGCUGUUUUCUCACCUAUAAACCGUUUCUUCAUGUGGUGCCCAGGCCGGGCACUCUCCCCUGCACUGUGCCUGCUGAGGUGACCUCCUCCACCUUCAGCACCACAACCUCCAGGAAUCUGUCCCUGGUCAGGAAUUCACCAGGGACAGCAGGAUGGCUGAUUUCUGCUCCAUGAGUCCAGGGCCUCCUCUGGAAGGCCGAGGCUCAUUGACUUACAUGUCUUUGACGUCUAUCACAUGAUCUUGGCAGUUGGCUGGGCCCACGGUUCACAUCUGUAGAGCCUCAAGGAGGGAAAUACUGUUGCAGAAUGCUCUUCUCCAUGGAGUGAAGCUCUGUAAUUGCGUUCUGAGCUCAGCAAUGGCGCUUUUGAGCUGGACCUUCUGGGUACUGCCGGUCCUUCAUUUCCUGCAGGGUGAGACAACCAGGGCAGGAUGCACAGCCAGGAGAAUGCUCACUGGGGCCGGGUUCUCAGACACCUGAGGGGCUCUCCGUGUGACCUGAGCUUUGGCACAGGGAAGCCUCACUCAGGCAACCAGGGAACAGCCGGCUGGAAGACUUCCCCUUGAAUGAAUCCUCUGCUUUGUGCCGCUGGACCCACCAAGGCUAAUAUCUUCCCAUUCUGCCUGCAUGAAGAAAUGGAAGGGUGCUCUCCAGGUACUGACUGGAAAGGGCUGCCUAACAUGUCAGGGUCAAGAACACUCUUCAUAAACUGGACCUGCACAGGGCUCCAUCUAGAGCAGGCUUUGAGCACCACAGAGCGACUGGUGCGUCUCCUCGGUUCUGAAAGCCUUUCCAUCACCUUCCAUUGUUCCUGGACUUUAGAUGCCUUUUAAAAUCUAUAUGAAAGGCAACCAGCUCAUCAGUAGAAUAGUUGUAAAUAUUAGCAAAUAUAUCUGUAUAUAAUUAAAGUUUCAACUAUAAUAUUUGUAACCUGAUUUCUUCCUAUACCCCUGGUUGCACGGUACAAGAAUACAUUUUAUUUAUUGGGGCAUAAUUUAUAUAGACCAAGUCAUAUCAUUUCAUUUUACAGUUUCAUGAGUUUUGACAACACAUACUGUCAUGUAAUCAAAACCAAAAUCAAGAUUUGGAACAGUUUCACCCCCCAAAAUGUUCCCUCAUGUCCUUCAGUUGUCGACCCCAACCCCAGCCUCUGGCAGUCACUGAACUGUUUUCUCUCCUAUUCUUUUCCAGAAUACCAUAGAAUGGAACUAUAUUGAUGUAGACUUUGUAUCCGACUUCUUUUGUUCAAUGAGAGUUAAUCUAUGUCACUGCAGACAUUAGUAGUUUUUUCUGUUUUAUUACCGAGUAGUAUUCCUUUGCAGAAAAUGUUUAGCAUUCAUCAUUUAAAGUACGUCUGUGUUGUUUUCAGUUUGGGGCAAUCAUGAGUUAAGCCAUUAUAAAACUCCUGUACUGCUCUUCGUGUGAAUGUAUCUUUUCAUUCCUCCUCAGCAGGGAGUUAGGACUGGGCAUCUGGGUUGGUCUUGUGAGGUGUGUGUUUAACCUUUUUAGGAAAUUGCUAAACUGUUUUCCAGAGUUACCGAACCAGUUUGCAUUCCCACCAGCAAUGCAAGGAGUUUCAUAUCUUAGUAUCAUCAGCAUAUUUAAACCACUGUAAAAUACCAAUAUGCUCAAUAUUAAUAUUCCAUGGUGGGAUAAACUGACAUUUCCCUGAUGACAAAAGGUUUUGAGCACCUUUCCCUGUACUUAUUUGUCAAUGUAUCUCCUUCGGAAAAAUGACUGUUCAAAC
This is a long non-coding RNA of Otolemur garnettii (small-eared galago), 2673 nucleotides long. RefSeq lists it as uncharacterized. The transcript has 3 exons. Lineage: Eukaryota; Metazoa; Chordata; Mammalia; Primates; Galagidae. The record is from RefSeq and is a predicted model, not a curated record.